Quercus robur (English oak) is the source of this 1582-nucleotide RNA transcript. RefSeq lists it as uncharacterized. NCBI's taxonomy places the organism in Eukaryota, Viridiplantae, Streptophyta, Magnoliopsida, Fagales, Fagaceae. The record is from RefSeq and is a predicted model, not a curated record. The transcript is spliced from 4 exons.
AAAUAGGGUGUCAGUGACUCUCAGACAGACACUUACAUCCACAUGCAUAUGUAACUUGUCUCUCUGUUUUCUGAUUCCUCUGCUUUUCUUCCAAACCUCAAAAAACCCUUUUGUUUUUGCCUUUUAAUUUCUUCCAUUUCCAAAAUAUUCCUUUGGAUUUCAAUUCCCAGGCAUGGCAUCCUACGAUAAGCCUGAAGUUGUUGAAAGGGAUAUUAAGGACAAGGAGCAUGAGGAGGAUGACAAACCCAUAGUUGUUGAAAGGGAUGUUAAGGACAAGGAGCACAAGGAGGAUGACAAACCCGAAGUUGCUGAAAGGGAUGUUAAGGACAAGGAGCACAAGGAGGAUGAUAAAGAGGAAGGGAAAGGUGGUUUUCUUGAAAAGGUGAAGGAUUUCAUUCAUGACAUUGGCGAGAAGAUUGAAGGAGCUAUUGGAUUUGGGAAGCCAACUGCAGAUGUGACAGGGCUUCACGUCAAUUCUAUGACUCUUGAAAAAGCGGAGUUUGUCAUUGAAAUUCUCAUAAAGAACCCAAAUCCGGUUCCUAUCCCUCUGAUUGACAUAAACUACUUGAUUGAGAGUGAUGGAAGGAAACUUAUUUCAGGGUUGAUCCCAGAUGCUGGAACGAUCAAAGCACAUGGUGAGGAGACUGUCAAAAUACCAGUUACUCUGAUUUAUGAUGACAUAAAAAACACAUAUUCUGAAAUUAAGCCCGGAAGCAUCAUUCCAUAUAGGAUCAAGGUUGAUCUCAUUGUGGAUGUGCCUGUUUUUGGAAGAAUAACUCUACCACUUGAGAAAACUGGAGAGAUCCCUAUACCUUACAAGCCUGAUAUUGAUAUUGAGAAAAUAAAGUUUGACAGAUUCUCCUUUGAAGAAACUGUUGCAGUACUUCACUUGAAACUGGAAAAUAAGAAUGAUUUUGACUUGGGGCUUAAUGACCUAGACUAUGAGGUUUGGCUGUGUGAUGAAAGCAUUGGAUCUGUAGACCUCCAAAAAUCUGCAAAUCUUGUGAAAAAUGGAAUCACUUAUAUUGAUAUUCCCAUCACCUUCAGGCCUAAGGACUUUGGCUCUGCACUUUGGGACAUGAUUAGAGGAAAAGGCACUGGUUACAGCAUGAAAGGAAAUAUUAAUGUGGAUACACCCUUUGGAGCAAUGAAGCUGCCCAUCACCAAGGAGGGUGGUACUACCCGUAUCAAGAAGAACAAAGAAGAUGGUGGUGAUGAUGAUGACGACGAUGAGGAAUAGAGGCGACAUUGGCAGGAGUGGUCAUAUUAGUAGCUGUGGUCUGUUUAUCAGUAGUGGUCUAUUAGAAUAAUAGAUAAAUAGGCACUUGAACUUGUGGUUUUUACAUAUAGCAGUGAUGUACAUCUCUUGCAAGGUGAAGUUUAGUAGUUUUAUAUAUGUGUGUUUAUGAAUGUAUUAUUCUGAUGGAUAUGAGGUCUGGCGCUUUUUAGCUUGCAUGCCCACUCUAUUGUUGAGAUGUUUGAGCAGGGGAUGAAAUUGUUGUCUUUCACUUGUGAUGUUGUUGAUAUUAAUGAAUCGACUUACCAUAAGAUAAUACUAGAGUGCUUCAUUUCUUUUCAAACA